GGGCAUGUAGUAUAGGGGUUAUUGCGCUUGCUUCGCACUUCGUUGUCCGACGGGUUGGGAACGUAAUGCUCUGCGAGAGGUCUUGGGUUCGAUUCCCAACCUGUCCA
This is a non-coding RNA of Mycena polygramma, 107 nucleotides long. The record is from the annotation of a GenBank genome assembly. NCBI's taxonomy places the organism in Eukaryota, Fungi, Basidiomycota, Agaricomycetes, Agaricales, Mycenaceae.